UACAGAGGUCUCAAGCGUUGUUCGGAAUUACUGGGCGUAAGGGCGCGUAGGCGGUUCGAUAAGUCCCGUGUGAAAUCCCUCGGCUCAACUGAGGAAUGGCACGGGAAACUGACGGGCUUGAGUUCGGGAGAGGGAAGCGGAAUUCCUGGUGUAGCGGUGGAAUGCGCAGAUAUCAGGAGGAACACCGGUGGCGAAGGCGGGAUCCUGGGCCAGUACUGACGCUGAGGAGCGAAAGCGUGGGGAG
RNAcentral lists this ribosomal RNA (244 nucleotides) under uncultured bacterium. RNAcentral describes it as "partial 16S ribosomal RNA". It matches the Rfam family "Bacterial small subunit ribosomal RNA", at positions 524 to 768 of the family's 1533-position model. The record is from RNAcentral.